GACGAACGCUGGCGGCGUGCUUAACACAUGCAAGUCGAGCGACUGCAUUCUUUUCGGAGGGUGUAUGGAGCGGCGAACGGGUGAGUAACACGUGAGUAAUCUGCCUUUGGCUUGGGAAUAACUUCGGGAAAUCGGGGCUAAUGCCUGAUGUUUACUGUCUGCUGCAUGGUGGGUGGUGGAAAGAUUUUUUGGCCAGGGAUGAGCUCGCGGUCUAUCAGCUUG
Molecule: ribosomal RNA, 222 nt
Filed under: uncultured bacterium
Lineage: Bacteria
Description: partial 16S ribosomal RNA
Rfam family: Bacterial small subunit ribosomal RNA
Source: RNAcentral